GUCCCGUUCUUCUCUUCCUAAAUCCAACCAUCCAAUUCUUGUUUUCCUAAACCCAGCCGUCCCAUUCUUCUGGUCCUAAACCCAGCCGUCCCAUUCUUCUUUCCUAAACCCAGCCGUCCCAUUCUUCUUUUCCUAAACCCAGCCGUCCCAUUCUUCUUUUCCUAAACCCAGCCGUCCUAUUCUUCUUUCCUAAACCCAGCCAUCCCAUUCUUCUUUUCCUAAACCCAGCCUUCCCAUUCUUCUUUUCCUAAACCCAGCCCAGUCCUUCUCUUUCCUAAACCCAGCCGUCCCAUUCUUCUUUUCCUAAACCCAGCCGUCCUAUUCUUCUUUCCUAAACCCAGCCAUCCCAUUCUUCUUUUCCUAAACCCAGCCUUCCCAUUCUUCUUUUCCUAAACCCAGCCCCGUCCCAUUCUUCUUUUCCUAAACCCAGCCGUCCCAUUCUUCUUUUCCUAAACCCAACCGUCUCAUUCUUGUCCCCCGUGUCAUGGAAACGUUAGCCCGAAACCUAACUGCGUCAAAAGUGACGCCAAUAGUCCCGACCAAGCCCGUUUGAUAAAAUGCGUUUUGAUAUGAUGCUACAGGAGACUUU
This is a long non-coding RNA of Etheostoma spectabile (orangethroat darter), 589 nucleotides long. RefSeq lists it as uncharacterized. Lineage: Eukaryota; Metazoa; Chordata; Actinopteri; Perciformes; Percidae. The transcript has 3 exons. The record is from RefSeq and is a predicted model, not a curated record.